UGGGGAAUUUUGGACAAUGGGGGAAACCCUGAUCCAGCCAUCCCGCGUGUGCGAUGAAGGCCUUCGGGUUGUAAAGCACUUUUGGCAGGAAAGAAACGUCAUGGGUUAAUACCCCGUGAAACUGACGGUACCUGCAGAAUAAGCACCGGCUAACUACGUGCCAGCAGCCGCGGUAAUACGUAGGGUGCAAGCGUUAAUCGGAAUUACUGGGCGUAAAGCGUGCGCAGGCGGUUCGGAAAGAAAGAUGUGAAAUCCCAGAGCUCAACUUUGGAACUGCAUUUUUAACUACCGGGCUAGAGUGUGUCAGAGGGAGGUGGUAUUCUGCGUGUAGCAGUGAAAUGCGUAGAUAUGCGGAGGAACACCGAUGGCGAAGGCAGCCUCCUGGGAUAACACUGACGCUCAUGCACGAAAGCGUGGGGAGCAAACAGG
Molecule: ribosomal RNA, 429 nt
Filed under: Acidobacteriota bacterium
Lineage: Bacteria; Pseudomonadati; Acidobacteriota
Description: Acidobacteria bacterium partial 16S ribosomal RNA
Rfam family: Bacterial small subunit ribosomal RNA
Source: RNAcentral